UACCCUGUGGAACCGGGCUUUUGUAGUUAAGUUCAGAAGCUCGUCUCUACAGGUACCU
RNAcentral lists this microRNA precursor (58 nucleotides) under Centruroides sculpturatus (bark scorpion). RNAcentral describes it as "Csc-Mir-10-P4q_pre stem-loop". The record is from RNAcentral. Lineage: Eukaryota; Metazoa; Arthropoda; Arachnida; Scorpiones; Buthidae.